AGGACAACGAUUCUUUUAUCACAUUGUGUCUAGCGGGCGAACGCAAUACCCUAGGACAACGAUUCUUUUAUCACAUUAUGUCUAGCGGGCGAACGGAAUAUUCUAGGACAACGAUUCUUUUAUCACAUUGUAAGUAUUGAAUUUGUUUAUCAUUUUCAUAAAUAAUUUGUGUGAUUAGCACCCGGGAAACCUGCAAAAAGAUAAUUUUUGUGCUUCGAAGUACUGGUUUUUGGUAGUUUUAGACGUCUAACGGGAGAACUAAAUGUCCUAGGACAACGAUUUUUUCAUCAGAUUGUAAGUAUUGAAUUUGUAUAUAAUUUUCGUAAAUAAUUGUCUUUAAUCUAAAGUGAAUUAAAUGUUAAAUAUUAGCAAUGCAGAUGCAGAUUUCUGUAAUUUCAAAGUUUCAUAACUUGAUUAUGCGCUAGUGGCAGCUAUCUAUUUUGUUUGGUUCCGCUACGGACAGAUGACGCUUCCAUCGAUUUGGUUUAAAUUCAUACUUAAAUUUUGUGGUUGUUUCUUGUGCGCUGAGUUGCGGUGCGUACGUCACUUUUAUACACAGCUUUUAUGUUUAACAAUAUCUUGCUACAUGGUUGUUAUUGCAUUUCUGCCGUAUGCAUAUAGAAAAAUGCCCCUCCAUUUGCGGGUUGGUUAUCAAUCUGUCUUGCUUAGUUCGGCUUAGUCGGUUGAGCGCUGUUGCGAGUGCGCUCGUGUUUUGUUCAUUAACUAAACAUGGUGAGACUUUCUCGCUAUUCUUGAUAUUUUGUUGCAUUACUUAAAUCGAUUGACGAUCAGGGGCACGAAUGAUAUAAGUGAUUUUUUUGCGGAGUGCGCGUGGCGUCUGUCGGAUAUGUUCCGGUGACUAUGGAUACUUACUGGAGUUAAAUGAAGUUAAAUUUAUGUGUUUGAUGUGAAUACAUUUAGAAUAUCUGCGUGGAAUGGAAAAGAAGUGUGUAUCAUCAAUAAUACAUACAAUUUGCGGGAACGUGUUUGUGCGCCUUAGUCCUUUAUUGAUAUAAGAACAAAGGAGUAAGUAACAUCAAAUAAAAUUUUACUUUUAUUUAACUUUUUAAAUCUUGCACCAUGUUAUUGUUUUAUAAUAAUUGAAAAAGAUUCAGUCAAUAAAGAUUUAGUUUUA
Long non-coding RNA from Dalotia coriaria, 1135 nucleotides. RefSeq lists it as uncharacterized. Lineage: Eukaryota; Metazoa; Arthropoda; Insecta; Coleoptera; Staphylinidae. The transcript has 3 exons. The record is from RefSeq and is a predicted model, not a curated record.